RNAcentral lists this long non-coding RNA (1048 nucleotides) under Marmota monax (woodchuck). Lineage: Eukaryota; Metazoa; Chordata; Mammalia; Rodentia; Sciuridae. The record is from RNAcentral.
GAUGGGUUGCUCUUUUCAUAACAGUGCUUCAGUUACUCCAGGGAAGCCAUGGAUUGGGGAGUGGCAUCUUACAAAAGCAAGAACUUAUUGAAGAAUUGUUUCUGUGGAAUUUAGUGGCAUGUCUCAGUGGGAGCAGUUAUUUGGAAAAAGGGAAAAUGGGGCCACUUCUUAAAAGAAAGUUGAAUAAAAAUCCCCUUUAGUAAUUAUUUUAGACAGUGGACACCAAAAUGACUAUUGUACUUUCCUGGAUCUAAAUGAGGAACUUGUAUUUAAAUGUCACUACUCUGUGACAAGAGUAUGAGAUGAUUACUAGGUGAAAUUUAGAUAAACAUUAAAAAAUCUGAGUAACAGCAAAGAUUCUUUUUGAUUGAACAUACAUUUGAUAUAUUUUACUUUUUAUCAAAUUUUAUUAGAAUGAAUGUAUUUAUUCUAAUAGAGACUUAGCCCAAUAAGUCUUUUCAUAGAAAGUCCAGGGGGUAACUUUCCAGGCUUAGGAUAAAUCUUUACAAGAGGUGUUUCUAGGGUGGGCAUAAAAGAGGCAGCCCCCUUGGUCUAAAAAUUUUACUUCCAAAGAAAAUUAAGAAAAAAAAAGUAGGUUGAAGCAAAGACAAAAUCCUCAAGACCUAAACAGAGUGUUGCUUGGCACCUUCCUAUCUUGAAUUCUCGGCCUUCUCACACUGGCUGCCUGCUCCACAUUUGAAAUCAAAGGUAUCACUUUUAAAUCUAAACUGCUAUAAGAUUUAGGUGAUCUUAUUUGUUACUUAGAGUAAGACAUCAACUAUAAAUAGAUUUUCUUUUAUUGAAGUUUGUCUAACUCUGUCUUUAGUAUCUCCAAAUCCUCCUAAAAUACUCUGUAUAAAGUCUUUGUGCCCUAUUUUAAAAAGUGUAAGUUUUCAGUUGCACCUAGAUUACUUGAAACCUCACGAAUAUUCUUUUAAUAAGGGACUAAGACUUCUAUUUUGCUUUUGCUUGAAGAGUUCAAAUUUGGGACUGGGCUUUUGGGGGCUCCAGGAAUGCCUGGAAGCAGGAAUAGAUGUAUCAGGAAUGA